CCUCUUUGGCCCCCCUGCCCUCAUGCUGGGCUCCAAAACAGUAACUAGUGUCUCAGAGCCCCCAGACUGGCCCACCUCCCCUGCCUGCCACACUUUAUGGUUUAUCCCCCUUUUAGGUCCAUCCAUCUUUCUGAUCGAGUUGAGUCCUAAGCAUGCUCUUCAUGCUCCUUUUUGGGGACCCUCAGCAGAGUCUCUUGCUUCCCCGUUCCCCCACCAAUUGUUGCCCCCUUUCUAGAGCAGGGGUUUGGGAUUCCAGAGGUGAUGAAAUGUCUCUUGUUGGCAAAGCUGUCUCUGACCACCCAGUCUGGCCCCUACCUCUUCCUAGCCACCUCUUUCAUCAUCCUGUUAACACUGUCUUCCUAGCUUAUCUGAAAUUACAUGAAACUAAACUAAAUGGAUGUUAAUAUUUUCUUUCUCUCUCCCCCUUAGAUUGUAAAAUUUCUCAGGGCAGUUUUUUUUUUUUCUGUCAUGUUCCCUGCUGGGCCCCCAUUCCUAGGAUCCAGGCCAGGACCAAAUUAAAAAAAAGGCACUCUGGACCUGGCACCCGGCAGGUGCCUGGUGUGUAAACAUCCCACGGGCCAAACCUUGGGUAAACCCCAAGCAAGAGCCAAGGGCGGACCCAAAACUGGCCACAAGGAAAACUUCUGCCUAAAAAAUUCUGACUGUGACCUGAGGACCCUGACCUGACCCUGGAGGCAUUCUUUGGGUCUGGGCUGCCCCAUGGUCCCCCCUGAUGAACCAGGCGGAGGGCACCCAUGCCCCACCAAAUCAAUGCACAGCAACCUGCCUGCCACACCCAGGAAGCUGGGGGAGGCCCCUGCACCCCCCACCCCACCACCAUUUGAAGGACCGAGACUGAUAUCCAGGGGCCAGUCCUGCUGCAGAUGGACAGGCCUUCACAUGGACCCUGGGGAGGACCCUUGUGGACCUCAGGGGAACAAAUCUCAAGG
Molecule: small RNA, 950 nt
Filed under: Bos taurus (domestic cattle)
Lineage: Eukaryota; Metazoa; Chordata; Mammalia; Artiodactyla; Bovidae
Description: partial Meg 9 variant 1
Source: RNAcentral